UACGUAGGGCGCAAGCGUUGUCCGGAAUUAUUGGGCGUAAAGAGCGUGUAGGCGGCCAUACAGGUCAGCUGUGAAAACUCGAGGCUCAACCUCGAGACGUCGGUUGAAACCGUAUGGCUAGAGUCCGGAAGAGGAGAGUGGAAUUCCCGGUGUAGCGGUGAAAUGCGCAGAUAUCGGGAAGAACACCCGUGGCGAAGGCGGCUCUCUGGGACGGUACUGACGCUGAGACGGCGAAAAGCGUGGGGGAGCGAACAGG
RNAcentral lists this ribosomal RNA (256 nucleotides) under uncultured bacterium. RNAcentral's name for it is "partial 16S ribosomal RNA". It matches the Rfam family "Bacterial small subunit ribosomal RNA", at positions 524 to 776 of the family's 1533-position model. The record is from RNAcentral.